AGCGAACAUUGGCGGUAGGCUUAACACAUGCAAGUCGAGCGAGGCUAAGAGCCGAGCGGCGAACGGGUGAGUAAUACGUUGAGAUCUACCCUGGAGUGGGGAAUAACCAGCAGAAAUGCUGGCUAAUGCCGCAUAAUCCAUAUUGGGAAAGCGCUUAGCGCUCUAGGAUGAGUCAACGGCCGAUUAGCUAGUUGGUGGGGUAAAGGCCCACCAAGGCGACGAUCAGUAGCUGGUCUGAGAGGAUGAUCAGCCACACUGGGACUGAGACACGGCCCAGAAUGCUACGGGAGGCAGCAGUGAGGAAUAUUGGACAAUGGGCGCAAGCCUGAUCCAGCCAUGCCGCGUGAGUGACGAAGGCCUUCGGGUUGUAAAGCUCUUUCAGAUGCGAAGAUAAUGACGGUAACAUCAGAAGAAGCCCCGGCUAAAUUCGUGCCAGCCGCCGCGGUAA
This 448-nucleotide ribosomal RNA is filed under the name uncultured bacterium. Its description in RNAcentral is "partial 16S ribosomal RNA". It matches the Rfam family "Bacterial small subunit ribosomal RNA", at positions 29 to 523 of the family's 1533-position model. The record is from RNAcentral.